UGAACGCUGGCGGCAGGCCUAACACAUGCAAGUCGAGCGGAUGAAGAGAGCUUGCUCUCUGAUUCAGCGGCGGACGGGUGAGUAAUGCCUAGGAAUCUGCCUGGUAGUGGGGGACAACGUUUCGAAAGGAACGCUAAUACCGCAUACGUCCUACGGGAGAAAGCAGGGGACCUUCGGGCCUUGCGCUAUCAGAUGAGCCUAGGUCGGAUUAGCUAGUUGGUGGGGUAAUGGCCUACCAAGGCGACGAUCCGUAACUGGUCUGAGAGGAUGAUCAGUCACACUGGAACUGAGACACGGUCCAGACUCCUACGGGAGGCAGCAGUGGGGAAUAUUGGACAAUGGGCGAAAGCCUGAUCCAGCCAUGCCGCGUGUGUGAAGAAGGUCUUCGGAUUGUAAAGCACUUUAAGUUGGGAGGAAGGGCAUUAACCUAAUACGUUAGUGUUUUGACGUUACCAACAGAAUAAGCACCGGCUAACUUC
Molecule: ribosomal RNA, 479 nt
Filed under: Pseudomonas sp. 'ARUP UnID 538'
Lineage: Bacteria; Pseudomonadati; Pseudomonadota; Gammaproteobacteria; Pseudomonadales; Pseudomonadaceae
Description: bacterial SSU rRNA
Rfam family: Bacterial small subunit ribosomal RNA
Source: RNAcentral